RNAcentral lists this ribosomal RNA (253 nucleotides) under uncultured bacterium. RNAcentral's name for it is "partial 16S ribosomal RNA". It matches the Rfam family "Bacterial small subunit ribosomal RNA", at positions 524 to 776 of the family's 1533-position model. The record is from RNAcentral.
UACGGAGGAUGCAAGCGUUAUCCGGAAUGAUUGGGCGUAAAGCGUCCGCAGGUGGCUGUGUAAGUCUGCUGUUAAAGAGUGAGGCUCAACCUCAUAAAAGCAGUGGAAACUACACAGCUAGAGUGCGUUCGGGGCAGAGGGAAUUCCUGGUGUAGCGGUGAAAUGCGUAGAGAUCAGGAAGAACACCGGUGGCGAAGGCGCUCUGCUAGGCCGCAACUGACACUCAGGGACGAAAGCUAGGGGAGCGAAUGGG